RNAcentral lists this ribosomal RNA (253 nucleotides) under uncultured bacterium. Its description in RNAcentral is "partial 16S ribosomal RNA". It matches the Rfam family "Bacterial small subunit ribosomal RNA", at positions 524 to 776 of the family's 1533-position model. The record is from RNAcentral.
UACGAAGGGGGCUAGCGUUGUUCGGAAUUACUGGGCGUAAAGCGCGCGUAGGCGGCCAUUUAAGUCGGACGUGAAAUCCCUCAGCUCAACUGAGGACGUGCAUCCGAAACUGGCGAGCUUGAGUACUGAAGAGGAUCGCGGAAUUCCCGGUGUAGAGGUGAAAUUCGUAGAUAUCGGGAGGAACACCGGUGGCGAAGGCGGCGAUCUGGGUAGAUACUGACGCUGAGGUGCGAAAGCGUGGGGAGCGAACAGG